AUGAUAGAGAAAGUGGUUCCGGGAAUAAAAGAAGUGUGGCCCGCAGAUGAUAUUGGCCCAAUAUUGAUCCAACAGGACAACGCGAAGACACAUAUUCUUCCCGGUGAUGCAGAGUUUGCAGAAGCUGUGGCUACAACUGUUCUGGACAUUAGAAUAAUACAACAACCUCCAAAUUCUCCAGAUCUGAACGCACUUGAUCUUGGAUAUUUCAGAUCCCUUGAGUCUUUGACCGACUGCAGAGCCCCUACGACUAUCAAAGAACUGAUUCAAGGUGUGCAGGAAGAGUUCGAUGAGUACGAUGUCAAUAAACUCAACCGAAUAUUUCUAACACUUCAGACCAUCAUGGUUGAAGUGAUGAACUAUGGCGGAGGAAACCAUAAAAUUCCACAUUUGCGGAAGGAGAGAUUGGAAAGGCAAGGAAUGCUACCGCCUAUGAUACAUUUCCCUCGUGAAGUUUAUGAUAAUGCCAUGGAGAUUCUAGGACAAGAUGUCGAGUGA
Molecule: ribosomal RNA, 498 nt
Filed under: Triticum aestivum (bread wheat)
Lineage: Eukaryota; Viridiplantae; Streptophyta; Magnoliopsida; Poales; Poaceae
Description: partial small subunit ribosomal RNA
Source: RNAcentral